This is a non-coding RNA of Xyrichtys novacula (pearly razorfish), 1999 nucleotides long. The record is from the annotation of a GenBank genome assembly. Lineage: Eukaryota; Metazoa; Chordata; Actinopteri; Labriformes; Labridae.
GCUCAGAUGCGUUAUCUACUUUAAGCCGACAUACGGAUAUUAUAAUAUUCAGUUUUGUGGGCCAAAUUUAUUUUAUAUGCCAACAUCUAUGAAAGAAAGAGCCAGGCCACGGAGCGAGAUGCGUCAUUUACGCACAGAUGGUUCCGAUUUUAAUGCCAUUUUUGGAGUUUAUGUUGUGAUCUGUGCGCUAAACCCACCUUUGUCACGUGAGGUUUGAAUAUAUGCAACUUUAUGUGAGUGUCUUUAUUUGUGGAAAAGGGUGUUUGUCUUACCAGUGGGUCCAACAUUACGCACACCAAAUCCAUCUGCGCUCAGAUGAGAGAGUGUGGAGGACACUUGUUGAGCAGCUGCCCUCUGUCGCCAUCGUGUGGCAUAACUGUCUUCAGACAUCUCUCGAUCUCUUUGACUACUUCAUGAAAAUAGUAUUACGCCUCGCCGGUGGCGGAUUUAAAGGCAAGGAGAGGAGCUUAUGUGAUUGGUGAAAACAGGUCUCGGCUGUGUUAAACCGACUCCACGCCCUCUCUCCUCCCUGUCUAUGACUUAUGCUGCCGGGAGGAGCUGAGUUAGGGAGGGGGGAUACUUACACCGGGCUGCGCGGCUCACCAAAAUACCAAAAUGUGCUUGGGAACGCCUUGUCAGCGCGGCGGAUCUGAUUGACGCUGCGCUUGUGGCACGUCUUCGGCGAGGCACCAAAAUAGAGCCCUAUAUCUUGAAUUUUAUAGGGGGGAAGACAGAGUUUCCAAAGUGAACCCACAUACCCUUCACAGUCCAUGAAUUUAAAAAGCAAGCAAUAUGCAUACCAUAUGCAUGUAACAAAUUAAGAUAUCUAAUUAUAAUAAUUCCUGAAAAAUGGCACAACCUGGUGGCUUAAUAUAGAGAAAGUUUUGACAUGCUUUAGCUGACUGGGAUCGUUGUGUCUUUAAAAAAUAAGUAAUUUAAUUUUGUUAUGUAAAUGUAGUGUUUGACAUGCAUCAAUGGCCCUAAAAUACACUGAACAUGCCUUUUUUCCCCGAUGAAAUAUCCUUUCACUUGUUUGGUGGACAGUGAUAAAUGGUAGAUACAUACAAACUCAAGAAGUCUUCACUAUGGGCAUCUUUUUUCUCCUUAUCAGUAUCGUAUCAAAUGGCUUAUGUGACUGCUCGUGCAACACGUUUGUCGCUUUUGGUUGUUUGUGAUUUCUGUUUUAAAUCAAUUUUGUUUAAGUAUUCAGCAAUAUUACUUUCAUUUAUCCCUCACCUCUUCCUCCUAAUCUUAAUCCAGUUCUGGCUUUUUUAAUUAUGUGGGGUCAGAUCUCAGAUAUGAAAUCCAAACAUUAGCCAAACCAGGAUGGAUGUGUCAUAUGGAUAGAUGGUGAGACCAGUAGACAAAAAGCCAAAAUACUGAGUCUUGGUGGGUUAAAUGUAAGCUUCGAAGUCAGAUCCAGUGCUUUAAAUAAUCUAACAAUCCUCUACAUGACAACUGUAGCACUUGUAAAUUCAGGCAAUGUCACUCAUGAAUCCAUGCAGGCCUGCCAACCCCAUUAUACACAAAAAACAAACAAACAAAUCAACAAUAAAACAUUAAUAAUAAUAAUAAUAAUAAACAUGGACAUUUAUUUAUCAAUGAAUAAGUGUAUAAAGCAGAAAAAGCCAGUCACAACAUGUUGACUUGCAUCAGGAAAAGCAGCAUUUGAUCCAGAUUUAAGAUAAUUACUGCAACAACUGAAACUACUGAAACAAACUGCUGUUGUUUCAGGGUCUUGUGCAUGCUAGCUUAUUGUCUCGGCAUCCAUGUGUGAAGGACACAGCUCCUUUGUUGUAAAAAAAGAGGUUUAAUCAUUUCUCUUUUCCAUUUUGUACAUUUUUUCUACCUACUUAAAAUUUUGAAUAUUUAAAUAAUAUUGACAUAUUGUAAACUCUGCACUGGACACAGCCUCUCGCUGUCUUUCCCUAUGUGUAUAUAUAUAUCUAUAUAUCUCUCUCUAUAUAUACAGUAUAUCUAUUUAUAUAUAUGUGUGUGU